GACCAUCUCCUAAGGCUAAAUACUCUCUAGUGACCGAUAGUGAACCAGUACCGUGAGGGAAAGGUGAAAAGCACCCCGGAAGGGGAGUGAAAUAGAACCUGAAACCGUGUGCUUACAAGUAGUCAGAGCCCGUUAAUGGGUGAUGGCGUGCCUUUUGUAGAAUGAACCGGCGAGUUACGAUUUGAUGCAAGGUUAAGCAGUAAAUGUGGAGCCGUAGCGAAAGCGAGUCUGAAUAGGGCGUUUAGUAUUUGGUCGUAGACCCGAAACCAGGUGAUCUACCCUUGGUCAGGUUGAAGUUCAGGUAACACUGAAUGGAGGACCGAACCGACUUACGUUGAAAAGUGAGCGGAUGAACUGAGGGUAGCGGAGAAAUUCCAAUCGAACCUGGAGAUAGCUGGUUCUC
RNAcentral lists this ribosomal RNA (403 nucleotides) under Staphylococcus aureus. RNAcentral's name for it is "partial 23S ribosomal RNA". It matches the Rfam family "Bacterial large subunit ribosomal RNA", at positions 451 to 857 of the family's 2925-position model. The record is from RNAcentral. Lineage: Bacteria; Bacillati; Bacillota; Bacilli; Caryophanales; Staphylococcaceae.